UGAGCGGAUGAACUGAGGGUAGCGGAGAAAUUCCAAUCGAACCUGGAGAUAGCUGGUUCUCUCCGAAAUAGCUUUAGGGCUAGCCUCAAGUGAUGAUUAUUGGAGGUAGAGCACUGUUUGGACGAGGGGCCCCUCUCGGGUUACCGAAUUCAGACAAACUCCGAAUGCCAAUUAAUUUAACUUGGGAGUCAGAACAUGGGUGAUAAGGUCCGUGUUCGAAAGGGAAACAGCCCAGACCACCAGCUAAGGUCCCAAAAUAUAUGUUAAGUGGAAAAGGAUGUGGCGUUGCCCAGACAACUAGGAUGUUGGCUUAGAAGCAGCCAUCAUUUAAAGAGUGCGUAAUAGCUCACUAGUCGAGUGACACUGCGCCGAAAAUGUACCGGGGCUAAACAUAUUACCGAAGCUGUGGAUUGUCCUUUGGACAAUGGUAGGAGAGCGUUCUAAGGGCGUUGAAGCAUGAUCGUAAGGACAUGUGGAGCGCUUAGAAGUGAGAAUGCCGGUGUGAGUAGCGAAAGACGGGUGAGAAUCCCGUCCACCGAUUGACUAAGGUUUCCAGAGGAAGGCUCGUCCGCUCUGGGUUAGUCGGGUCCUAAGCUGAGGCCGACAGGCGUAGGCGAUGGAUAACAGGUUGAUAUUCCUGUACCACCUAUAAUCGUUUUAAUCGAUGGGGGGACGCAGUAGGAUAGGCGAAGCGUGCGAUUGGAUUGCACGUCUAAGCAGUAAGGCUGAGUAUUAGGCAAAUCCGGUACUCGUUAAGGCUGAGCUGUGAUGGGGAGAAGACAUUGUGUCUUCGAGUCGUUGAUUUCACACUGCCGAGAAAAGCCUCUAGAUAGAAAAUAGGUGCCCGUACCGCAAACCGACACAGGUAGUCAAGAUGAGAAUUCUAAGGUGAGCGAGCGAACUCUCGUUAAGGAACUCGGCAAAAUGACCCCGUAACUUCGGGAGAAGGGGUGCUCUUUAGGGUUAACGCCCAGAAGAGCCGCAGUGAAUAGGCCCAAGCGACUGUUUAUCAAAAACACAGGUCUCUGCUAAACCGUAAGGUGAUGUAUAGGGGCUGACGCCUGCCCGGUGCUGGAAGGUUAAGAGGAGUGGUUAGCUUCUGCGAAGCUACGAAUCGAAGCCCCAGUAAACGGCGGCCGUAACUAUAACGGUCCUAAGGUAGCGAAAUUCCUUGUCGGGUAAGUUCCGACCCGCACGAAAGGCGUAACGAUUUGGGCACUGUCUCAACGAGAGACUCGGUGAAAUCAUAGUACCUGUGAAGAUGCAGGUUACCCGCGACAGGACGGAAAGACCCCGUGGAGCUUUACUGUAGCCUGAUAUUGAAAUUCGGCACAGCUUGUACAGGAUAGGUAGGAGCCUUUGAAACGUGAGCGCUAGCUUACGUGGAGGCGCUGGUGGGAUACUACCCUAGCUGUGUUGGCUUUCUAACCCGCACCACUUAUCGUGGUGGGAGACAGUGUCAGGCGGGCAGUUUGACUGGGGCGGUCGCCUCCUAAAAGGUAACGGAGGCGCUCAAAGGUUCCCUCAGAAUGGUUGGAAAUCAUUCAUAGAGUGUAAAGGCAUAAGGGAGCUUGACUGCGAGACCUACAAGUCGAG
RNAcentral lists this ribosomal RNA (1596 nucleotides) under Staphylococcus aureus. RNAcentral describes it as "partial 23S ribosomal RNA". It matches the Rfam family "Bacterial large subunit ribosomal RNA", at positions 797 to 2393 of the family's 2925-position model. Lineage: Bacteria; Bacillati; Bacillota; Bacilli; Caryophanales; Staphylococcaceae. The record is from RNAcentral.